UAGGGAAUCUUCCGCAAUGGACGCAAGUCUGACGGAGCAACGCCGCGUGAGUGAAGAAGGAUUUCGGUUCGUAAAACUCUGUUGUUAGAGAAGAACAGCGCAUAGAGUAACUGUUAUGCGUGUGACGGUAUCUAACCAGAAAGCCACGGCUAACUACGUGCCAGCAGCCGCGGUAAUACGUAGGUGGCAAGCGUUGUCCGGAUUUAUUGGGCGUAAAGAGCUUGUAGGCGGUUCGUCGCGUCUGGUGUGAAAGCCCAUCGCUUAACGGUGGGUUUGCGCCGGGUACGGGCGGGCUAGAGUGCAGUAGGGGAGACUGGAAUUCCCGGUGUAACGGUGGAAUGUGUAGAUAUCGGGAAGAACACCAAUGGCGAAGGCAGGUCUCUGGGCUGUUACUGACGCUGAGAAGCGAAAGCGUGGGGAGCGAACAGG
Molecule: ribosomal RNA, 429 nt
Filed under: Bacteroidota bacterium
Lineage: Bacteria; Pseudomonadati; Bacteroidota
Description: Bacteroidetes bacterium partial 16S ribosomal RNA
Rfam family: Bacterial small subunit ribosomal RNA
Source: RNAcentral